This 78-nucleotide transfer RNA is filed under the name Trichonephila clavata. RNAcentral's name for it is "tRNA-Thr". It matches the Rfam family "tRNA". From Rfam's summary of the family: Transfer RNA (tRNA) molecules are approximately 80 nucleotides in length. Their secondary structure includes four short double-helical elements and three loops (D, anti-codon, and T loops). Further hydrogen bonds mediate the characteristic L-shaped molecular structure. tRNAs have two regions of fundamental functional importance: the anti-codon, which is responsible for specific mRNA codon recognition, and the 3' end, to which the tRNAs corresponding amino acid is attached (by aminoacyl-tRNA synthetases). tRNAs cope with the degeneracy of the genetic code in two manners: having more than one tRNA (with a specific anti-codon) for a particular amino acid; and 'wobble' base-pairing, i.e. permitting non-standard base-pairing at the 3rd anti-codon position. The record is from RNAcentral. Lineage: Eukaryota; Metazoa; Arthropoda; Arachnida; Araneae; Nephilidae.
GUCUUAUUGCUGUAGCGCAAUGGAUAGCGCGUUGGACUUGUAAUCCAAAGGUCGUGGGUUCAAAUGUCACCGGGGAUG